AGACAUAAGGAGGUGGGGGUGGGGGUGAGGGUGGUGGUGGGGAUUUAUAUACAUAAGGUGGGGGUGGUGAUGGUAAUGGUGGUGGAGGAGACUUGUAGAUGUAUGGAGGAGGUGGAGGAGAUGGAGAAGGUGGUGGUGGGGACUUGUAGACAUAAGGCGGAGGAGGAGAUGGUGAAGGUGGUGGUGGGGACUUGUAGAUAUAAGGCGGAGGAUGUGAUGGUGAAGGUGGUGGUGGUGGUGGGGACUUGUUAUCACAAGGUGGAGUAGGUGAUGCAUGGGACGGAGGUGGCGGUGAUUUAUAGAUAUAAGAUGGAGGUGGAGGUGACUUGGGUGGUGGUGAGUUAUAAUAAUAAAGAGGUGGUGGUGAUUUGUAGUAGUAGUACGUAGAUGGAGGGGAAGACUUGUAAUGGUAUGGAUUGGGUGACUUGUAAAUGUAGGGUGGCGGAGGUGGUGAAGCAUGAGUGUAUGGCUUGUAGUCAGCUGCCACAUGAGUUGCCAACAAACAUAAUGCCAAAGCAAAAACUAGAUGGGGCCAAAUAUUGGCCAUUUUUGGCUGAAUUUGAUCACUCGUAAAUCCCAACGAAAUAAUUGGGGUCUUUAUGGCUUGGAGAUUAGAGGACUAUCCGUUUUGAUUUGGAUGAGUACAAUAGAGAAGCGUGCUGUUUAUAUAGUGAUAGUUUCGAGCUUUAAAGCCAUUUUUUAAUGAAGCAUGGAGCUUCCUCCAUACACGUCUAAUAUUUUUGUACCUUUUUUUUUUAUUAUAUAUAUCAAGUGUAUUGACAUAAUGGGAUCCCACCAAGCCUUUGCAUGUCUCUUUUGUGCAAACACCUUGAAAUCGUCAAGUUUAUAUUCUAGAAGUCAUAACGAAUCAAUUAAAAAGUAGGUAAAAAUUUCAUCCAAUUAUUGAGCAAAUUGCAAGAACAAGGGGUUCUUGAGAAACUUUCCAUCGUCAGUUGGUAGCUCAUAAAAUUGGCUGGUCAUUUAAAAACCAAUUGAGCCGUUAAAGCCCGCUCUGGAUUGCAAUUUCAACUCGCAGCCAUCUGAUCAUUUCUUAUUAAAUUAUGCAGAACAAUUAUUAUUUCACCGUCCCCAAAUAUUAGGGAAUGACUGCAAGAGAAAGGCACUUGCCCACACUUCUGCCAUUAAUAUAAUAUUGUUUCUUCGACUUUUCUCGUUCUGUUUGUUUUUGUUUGUUUUGUUUUGUUGGAUUUUAUUUUUUCAUGCUUUUGGUUUAUUUUUCAGGUAGAGGUCUCAUCUAAUUCCUCACUUUAUCUGUGGUUUUAAUAAAAAAAAAGGAAAAGAAAAUCCUUUCGUUUAAUUUAGAUUAAAGCUAAAAUCUUAUAUAUGUUUACAUAGAAUGUUUGUUUACAUUAUAGCUGAAAAAAAUAAAAAAAUAAAAAAAUCUGAGCCAGGUUAAAACUAUACUUACAGACGUGGAGAGAAGAUUUAGUUACCAAUUACGCGAAACAAAAUAUAAAAGUAAAUAAAAAAAUCGUACAUGAAAACGCGUGUCAACAAUAUGACCUUCUGGUUAACAGCCGAGUUCCUCUUUGUUAUAUGUAUUUUAAUUUCUUACUAAAGCUUCUUUAGAUAGUUUUACUCAUAGAUCAAGACAUCACGCGUACAUUUGGUGAAAGUUAUAAGCAGGAAUAUUCAGGAUAGAUAAUUUUAUUACACAUAUGUCCAAAGUUAUUUAAUAAGGGAUCGGAAGUGAAACAGUCAAAAGCAUCUUCUAAUUUGUUGCAGUAUAUAUAUACAUAGGCAAUUCAUAUCUUACAUGCAUGUAAGAUACAUGCUCCUCACAUAAAUAGUGUGUGAGCCCCACACAUACACUAUUUAUGUGAGGGGAAUAUAUCUUACAUGCAUGUAAGAUAGAGCAUAUACAUAAAGCUAAUGUCAAUGUGUUUGUUCUCUUUCUAAUUUUUUUUUUCUUUUUUAAAUGAUGAGAUGACUGCUGAUUAAGAUGAGAAGUUUAAAUUCGUGAACUACAGGAGAACUCCUAUAAACAAAUGGUUGACGAAUAAUUAAUUCACUUAAACAAUAAAUAAAAUGUUUCGAUUUUAAUUUGGGGUUGUAUAUUAAAUUAAUAAUUUUUCAAAUUCUUUAGGCCCAACGAAUAUAUAAAUUAAUUGUUAACUAAAUACAUUAAACAAACAAGUGUAAAAGGUCCUCAACAAUUUAUAUGAAUUUUAUUAUUGACCCAAGGAGUUUUAUAAACCUUGAUUUUGACGAUAACAAUAACAAACAAUAUGGUAAGGGUAAUAACAAAAAAAAAAAAAAACACUUUUAGAUCUCAUUAGUUCUUGAAUGUCAAAAUUCAUUCAUGUAAAAUCAAGUUCAAAGAAAUCACGGACAUGCUCAUCAAGACAAAACUCAAAUGUGAAGAACACUGGCUUAAGUGAUAUUUCAUUUACAUAAUUAUUGUAAAGCUAGUUUGUUGGAUUUAUGCAUUAUUAAGUAUUUAAAGCUCAAAUUUGAUAAUAAUCAUCACAUUCAAAUCUGUCUUUUUUUUAUAAGUUAUAUUUUCUAUCCUUGAAGAAAAUCAAAAGCUAAAUGUUUUAUCAAAAUUAAUUUCUUCGAGGUAUAAGGAUUUAUUUGAAAAAUCUUAAAAAAAAUUUAUGUAUCAAAAAAGCUAGAGAGUUUUGUGGUCUUAAUGCUAUUUCUUAAAAUCUUGAAAAAAGAUCUAUUUGAUAAUACUUCAAAACUUUUUGGGCUCUGUUGUCAUUAUAGAAAAAGUUUGGGAACAACAUGGACCAGAAUGCUAAACUUUUAAAAUUGGGAAAAGCCCAAAGCCAGCCGAUUAUAGAGCAGCUAACCGGUUUAUUUUAUAGAGACAAACCAGAGAUCUGUUAGACCUAGUUUGUUUAAAAGCCCCCAACGCAACUUAUCAUAUCAGCAAAGUGGUUUGCCGAUUGUACAUAGAAUUUUUGUUUUAUGUUUCUAACAGUUAGUGCUCUGAAAUUACCCUAUAAAUCAAACUCCAAAUCAUUUUUCAAGAUUGGUUUGAGUUAAAACCUAAUAUUUCUGAAUACUCCUGAGCCUUUACUUGCUUACCUGUAUAAAUUUAUACAUACUUGAGUUAUCACUUGCUUAUCUAUUAUAUAUUUUUGUGAGGAGUGUGUUCUUUGUAAGGUUCAUUUUAAUUUUUUAAUUGAGUGAUAGUAAGUGUGAGAAACACUUGGUGAAGAGAUAAAGAAUAUAUAUUUCGAAUUUAUAACAAUUCAAUGACACUUUUAGAAUCAAUUGUACUCAUUUUUUGAGCCUCGGGAUAUGUGGCUUAAUGUAAGUGGAAUUCUCAAGCUUGAAUUGUUUGAAGGCGGAGACGUAGACGGUUUGUCAAAUCAUGUAAAAAUUAUUAUGUUUCUUUUUUCUAUCCUUACCUCUUUAAUUUAUUUGUUGUGUUUGUUGUUGUUAGAUUGUGAUUUUUAUUAUUGGAAAAAUUUUUAAACCCAAUUCACCUACCAUCUUAGGUUGUUGUUAGGUAAAAUUUCAAUUACAAUAUUGUACUUACAUUAAAUAACUUUAUUUAACUGAUUAUUCAAGUUCCAAAAAAAUUGAUUUGAGCUUUACUUACCCCUCUACCUCUUUAAAAAUUAAAUAAAUAAGUUAUGAACAAGUUGUAAUCUAAACUACAUAUAAAAAAUAUUUAUAGGUAUUAUUCGAAUGGUUAAGGCAGGUGCCAGGUUGUACGUGUACCCCUUGAUUUGUUAGCCAAAAUCAUAUGGCUGAAAUGUGUUGUGUUGGUGAUAAUCUGCUGAAUAUUCUUUCAAAUUAAUAAUAUUUAUUGAUAGAUAAAUUAAAGAAAUUUAUUUGUGAAAAUCCCUCUAAAAAAAUUAUUUUGCUUAGUCCGACGAAGUUGUUCUGUAAUUAUAAGUUAUAUACUCUCUUUCACUUUAUUUAGAAGUAAACACAAAUUAAGAAUUAGGACUCUCUCCUAAACUGAUAUUUUUUUGAGCAAAUUUUAUUAACAUGAUUGGUAGUUAAUAAAUUAAAAAGUAAAUAUUGUUAAAUUCUAAUCACACACUUACACUAAAAUACAAAUAGUACAAAAUUUGUAAAAAAUUAGAAGAGAAUUGUAGUCCCACAAAUUAAAAGAGCCUAAUGCAUUAGUCUAUGUGAAGAAUCAAUCAUUUUAGGGGAAAAAACAAAAAACCAAAAAGGAAUGAGAAAAGUUUCGGUCAAAGCUUUUAAUAUUCUCUCUUAACUACCCUGCUUUGCAAGAGGGAAAAAAAAUGGGAAGAGAGAAAAUAACUAUGAGAUGGGAAAAAAAUUAUUAACGAAAGAGUUAUUAGUUAUUACACUUUAAAUAGAAAGCCAGCUAGCAUAGUGCCGAUGCAUAGACUAGAUGAGGCCAAAUGUUGGCCAUUUUGGAGUUCUUGUUGUCACGGACCGCUCAAAUUUGCCACUAAUGGAGGCUAAUUCCGCACGCAUGAGUACACUUAGCAAAAGUCCGCCUAAAAGUGGAGUGCACUUAGAAGCGUGGUGUGCUUAGCACAAAAGGCAGGAUGCACUUAGAAGUGGGAUGCGCUUAGAAAUGGACCGCCAACACAACUAGCCAACUGUGAUGCACUUAACGAUCAUCCAAGCUCAGCUCGAAUUUUAGAUUUAUAUUCUACACACUCAACGAUCGAAAGGCUUACUUAACGACUCAUGUGCUAUAAGUCGUCUAAGUGCCGCACAAGUUUGUUGUGCAAAACUCUCAUCCCGUGACAUUAUGGUCGGAUAUUAGAGAGCUAGUUUUUUAUGAGUGCAACACAGAACCUUGGUGCUUAUAUAUUGAUAUAUUCAAAUAAAGAAUCUUUUAUGAUUUAGGAUUAAUUUGGUAAUGUUGUAAUUUUUAAAAUAAUUAUUGUUAGUUGUACUAUAGAAAUAAUCAAUUGUUGAAAAAAAUUAGUUAAGUAUUUAGUAAAAUUUAUUUUUUAGAAGUGCUUUAAGUUUUAAAAGUAAUAGUAUGUGUUUGGUAAAUCUUACCGUUAAACUACUGUAAGAGUACAAAUGAAUAAAAUAAAUAUAAUGUUUAAUAAAAAAUUUUUUACAUAUAUAAUUUUUUGUUGUAUAUAUACAAUAAUUGAUAACUAAAAUAAUUUUUUUGUUAAUUUAUUUUUUUAUUUUUUAUAUCAAUAUAAUUGGUGAUAAUAUUCUCUUUAAAAUUAAUAAUUUUAUUUUCCAAUUGAGUAAGGAUAUUUUGGAAUUUUUUAAUAUAUGUAAGGAUAUAUAUGGAAUUUUAUUUAUCAUAAAAUUGAUUCUUAAAAUCAAAAUUUGAAAAGCUACUUUUUUUCCUACUUUUCAAAAUUUGCUAUAAAUGAAUGAUUUUGCCAAAAAUAAUUUUUUUAAAAAUUACCUACUACCGAAAUUACCGUUUAACUUUUUAAAAUUACUUUUAAACCUUUGAAAAGCAAUCCCAAAUGAGCCCCUAAUAUUUUUCUACGAAUAAAUACUUACUGUACCCACUAUUAAAAUUUAAAAAUUAAAUUUAUACUCUACACACUCAACUGAAUACUAAAGCUAAACUUUUAAACCGAUUCCCUAUGUUAAUAAAAAAAUUUAAACAAACUCAUUUAGCUAAUUACAACCCCAUAAUGAAUAAGUAAAUCAUAACUAUACACGGUUAAAAAUGUACAUAUGUCAAAAGAUCUUUCAAACUUUAAAUUAGCUAUCACAAGAAGACUGUUAUUCAAUGUUUUCGAACUUUAUACUCAUUUUUAUAAUUACUAAUUUGUACAAUUAAUUAAUUAUAUCAUUUUUUUUCAUUUUUUUUAUUAAUUCAUAUCUCUUUGCCAUGUUUAAUCUAAGAUUGCAUGAAUAAUAUAUAACUAAGCUAUGUUUAUUUUAACAUUUUAAGGCAUAAGUAUGGAAGUACCCAAAAAAAUAUUUUAAAUUCAAUAAUUUGUUAUUUUAAUUUUAUACCAAAUUAUUUCUAAAUGAUUUAUUGGUAAUUAAUACGUUAUUAGUAUGAAUACCAACUUUUAAUUAAUCUAACAAAAUGUCAUUGGGUUAUUAUGUCAAUCUCAUGGAAUUUAUCAUACUCUCAAACUUCUAUCAUUUACGCAGGGAUAUAGGUCAUAAACUAAGAAAUAGUCUUUAGUACAAUACUAUCGAUCCAUUCUCUGUUCGCUGUGUAUGAGUGAAUAUUAUCAUGAUUGGUUGAAGUAUACAAGUGACCAUGAGUGAAUGAAAAAGGAGCAACAAUCUUGGAAUACCCAAGACUUUUGCCAUAAAUAUUCCUAAAUUUAUUAUUUUGACAUAAUAACGAUUUUUUUUUUUAAUUUGAUCAUUUUAUGUUAUAAGGGUAAAUAGUCAAAUUGAAUCUACAUUAAGACAAAUUUAGUGAUAGGAUAUGGUCCAUAUUUUAUGUACCAUGUAUGCUCCCUAUUUUAUGUAAAUUCAUUAUUAGAAUUAGUUCCCUCUGGAUAAACAAUUAGGCGCCAGCAAUUUUCUUUCAAGUACUUUCAAGUACUUUAUUCUCUGUUUGUUGUGUAUGAGUGAAUAUUAUCAUGACUGGUUGAAGUAUACAAGUGACCAUAAGUGAAUGAAAAAAGGAGCAACAAUCUUGGAAUACCCAAGACUUUUUCCAUACAUAUUCCUAAAUUAAUUAUUUUGACAUAGUAACGAUUUUUUUUUUUCAAUUUGAUCAUUUUAUGUUAUAAGGGUAAAUAGUCAAAUUGAAUCUACAUUAAGACAAAUUUAGUGAUAGGAUAUGGUCCAUAUUUUAUGUACCAUGUAUGCUCCCUAUUUUAUGUAAAUUUGUUAUUGGAAUUAGUUCCCUCUGGAUAAACAAUUAGGCACCGGCAAUUUUCUUUCAAAUACUUUCAAGUACUUUAUUCUCUGUUUGCUGUGUAUGAGUGAAUAUUAUCAUGAUUGGUUGAAGUAUACAAGUGACCAUGAGUAAAUGGAAAAGGAGCAACAAUCUUGGAAUACCCAAGACUUUUUCUAUGCAUAUUCCUAAAUUAAUAAUUUUGACAUAGUAACGAUUUUUUUUUAUUUGAUCAUUUUAUGUUAUAAGGGUAAAUAGUCAAAUUGAAUCUACAUUAAAACAAAUUUAGUGAUAGGAUAUGGUCCAUAUUUUAUGUAACUUGUAUGCUCCCUAUUUUAUGUAAAUUUGUUAGUAGAAUUAGUUCCCUCCGGAUAAACAAUUAGGCGCCAGCAUUUUUCUUUCAAGUACUUUAUAAUCCAUGCAUACAUGAAUUCUUUUAUUUACUUCAAAAUAUUGAUAACUCGAACAAACGUGGAGGAACGAAUAAUGUACAAACACAGAGACAUACUAAUAUGGUCGAUUGAAGUAUGACAGUAAGAGAAAAUUAAAACAAAAUAACAAAACAAAAGGCAAAUAAUCACUAAGAACUGUAAAGCAUCCAUAUUGCAUGCCUUCGUUACUGAUAUAUAAGCCUUAUUUGAGAAACGAAACUGUUGCGGCUUUAUACUUUCAUAACCUGCAAACCAAGGGGUUAAAAAAAAGAUAAC
RNAcentral lists this long non-coding RNA (7461 nucleotides) under Citrus maxima (pomelo). Its description in RNAcentral is "long non-coding RNA (CMAX_LNC000501)". Lineage: Eukaryota; Viridiplantae; Streptophyta; Magnoliopsida; Sapindales; Rutaceae. The record is from RNAcentral.